This 562-nucleotide ribosomal RNA is filed under the name uncultured Bacillota bacterium. Its description in RNAcentral is "bacterial SSU rRNA". It matches the Rfam family "Bacterial small subunit ribosomal RNA", at positions 338 to 916 of the family's 1533-position model. The record is from RNAcentral. Lineage: Bacteria; Bacillati; Bacillota.
CCUACGGGAGGCAGCAGUGGGGAAUAUUGCACAAUGGGCGCAAGCCUGAUGCAGCGACGCCGCGUGAAGGAAGAAGGUCUUCGGAUUGUAAACUUCUAUCAGCAGGGAAGAAUAAAUGACGGUACCUGACUAAGAAGCCCCGGCUAACUACGUGCCAGCAGCCGCGGUAAUACGUAGGGGGCAAGCGUUAUCCGGAAUUACUGGGUGUAAAGGGUGCGUAGGCGGCUUGGUAAGUCGGGAGUGAAAUUUAGGGGCUCAACCCCUAGGGUGCUCUCGAAACUACUGAGCUAGAGUAUAGGAGAGGAAAGUGGAAUUCCACGUGUAGCGGUGAAAUGCGUAGAGAUGUGGAGGAACACCAGUAGCGAAGGCGACUUUCUGGACUAUUACUGACGCUGAGGCACGAAAGCGUGGGGAGCAAACAGGAUUAGAUACCCUGGUAGUCCACGCUGUAAACGAUGAAUGCUAGGUGUUGGGGCUCACGGGUCUCGGUGCCGAAGUUAACACAUUAAGCAUUCCACCUGGGAAGUACGAUCGCAAGAUUGAAACUCAAAGGAAUUGACGG